GGGGAAUCUUGCACAAUGGGGGAAACCCUGAUGCAGCGACGCCGCGUGAACGAUGAAGCCCUUCGGGGUGUAAAGUUCUUUCGACAGGAACGAUAAUGACGGUACCUGGAGAAGAAGCUGCGGCUAACUACGUGCCAGCAGCCGCGGUAAUACGUAGGCAGCGAGCGUUGUUCGGAGUUACUGGGCGUAAAGAGUGCGUAGGCGGCGAGACAAGUUUGGUGUGAAAUCUCCCGGCUUAACCGGGAGGGUGCGCCGAAAACUGGUUGGCUGGAGUAUGGGAGAGGAAAGCGGAAUUCCUGGUGUAGCGGUGAAAUGCGUAGAUAUCAGGAGGAACACCUGCGGUGUAGACAGCUUUCUGGACCAAAACUGACGCUGAGGCACGAAAGCGUGGGUAGCAAACA
RNAcentral lists this ribosomal RNA (401 nucleotides) under uncultured bacterium. Its description in RNAcentral is "bacterial SSU rRNA". It matches the Rfam family "Bacterial small subunit ribosomal RNA", at positions 356 to 774 of the family's 1533-position model. The record is from RNAcentral.